This 500-nucleotide long non-coding RNA is filed under the name Hordeum vulgare. RNAcentral's name for it is "long non-coding RNA (HVUL_LNC012272)". Lineage: Eukaryota; Viridiplantae; Streptophyta; Magnoliopsida; Poales; Poaceae. The record is from RNAcentral.
CCGAGGCGAAGCAUGUUCGAGGGGGAGAUCGCCCGUCCGGAGGGGGGCCAAUAUGCAUAUUCCAUGGCACCAGCGGCCAUGAUACCUCCGAGUGUCAACAACACUGCCUAGUCCGUGUUGAACACUUCAGCAGGCGCCCCGGACGGUAUGACACAGGCCCCGCGCGUGGAGGAGGCCACAGUGGGGGCCGCUGGGAUGACCGUUGUGGCACCCCAUCUCGGAGGAAACUGGAACGCCCCGUAUUCCAGCCCAAGGACCGGUCUUCUAGAAUACGGAAAAGAUUACAUGGAUACAUGGAUUACAUUGCCUUGGCGAUACUACACCUACCUACGGUAAAUCCUACGCUAGAAGCGGAACAGCUAACGAUGUGAUGAACUCCACUCCGCACGGACUCUGGCUGGAACGCGCAUCCUAGCUCGCAACUUAGAAUCCUCGGCAAUCAAACACUCAAGGAAUGACCUGCAAACUGGCAUGAUAAGCCAGGUGAGUACUUUGAAUGU